RNAcentral lists this unclassified non-coding RNA (393 nucleotides) under Hevea brasiliensis (rubber tree). The record is from RNAcentral. Lineage: Eukaryota; Viridiplantae; Streptophyta; Magnoliopsida; Malpighiales; Euphorbiaceae.
AUGGGAGUUCAUAAACAUGUCCGAGCAAGAAGAGGAUCUUAUUUAUAGAAUGUAUAAGCUUGUUGGAGAUAGGUGGGCUUUGAUUGCUGGUCGAAUUCCAGGUCGCAAAGCAGAAGAAAUAGAAAGGUUUUGGAUAAUGAGGCAUGGUGAAGUGUUUGCCAAUCGACAGAAAAAGCUCAAGAAAUCCAAGUCUUAAUGUGUUGCCGUGGAUAUAUAUUAUCAUCUUCUUUAUUGUUAUUGUUAUGAUGAUUAGCUAGGGUUAUUAAUCCUCCUUCUUCCUCUUCUUUUAUGAUGAAACUCCUUCUUCUUGCUAAUGUGUGUGGGAGAUUGUUUCGCUGAGAAGAUGGUGAUUAGCGCAUUAUUAAUGGGAUCAUUAUGUUUUUCUCUCUCUAA